UACGUAGGGGGCUAGCGUUGCUCGGAAUCACUGGGCGUAAAGGGUGCGUAGGCGGGUCUUUAAGUCAGGGGUGAAAUCCUGGAGCUCAACUCCAGAACUGCCUUUGAUACUGAGGAUCUUGAGUUCGGGAGAGGUGAGUGGAACUGCGAGUGUAGAGGUGAAAUUCGUAGAUAUUGGGAAGAACACCGGUGGCGAAGGCGGCUCACUGGCUCGUAACUGACGCUCAUGCACGACAGCGUGGGGAUCAAACAGG
This 253-nucleotide ribosomal RNA is filed under the name uncultured bacterium. RNAcentral describes it as "partial 16S ribosomal RNA". It matches the Rfam family "Bacterial small subunit ribosomal RNA", at positions 524 to 776 of the family's 1533-position model. The record is from RNAcentral.